RNAcentral lists this transfer RNA (85 nucleotides) under Terrilactibacillus laevilacticus. RNAcentral describes it as "tRNA-Tyr". It matches the Rfam family "tRNA". Rfam says of the family: Transfer RNA (tRNA) molecules are approximately 80 nucleotides in length. Their secondary structure includes four short double-helical elements and three loops (D, anti-codon, and T loops). The record is from RNAcentral. Lineage: Bacteria; Bacillati; Bacillota; Bacilli; Caryophanales; Bacillaceae. RNAcentral also lists the same sequence under 1 other name.
GGAGGGAUAGCGAAGUGGCUAAACGCGGCGGACUGUAAAUCCGCUCUCUACGAGUUCGAAGGUUCGAAUCCUUCUCCCUCCACCA